This 484-nucleotide ribosomal RNA is filed under the name uncultured bacterium. RNAcentral's name for it is "partial 16S ribosomal RNA". It matches the Rfam family "Bacterial small subunit ribosomal RNA", at positions 30 to 507 of the family's 1533-position model. The record is from RNAcentral.
AUUGAACGCUAGCGGGAUGCUUUACACAUGCAAGUCGAACGGCAGCGCGGACUUCGGUCUGGCGGCGAGUGGCGAACGGGUGAGUAAUGUAUCGGAACGUGCCCAGUAGCGGGGGAUAACUACGCGAAAGCGUAGCUAAUACCGCAUACGCCCUACGGGGGAAAGCAGGGGAUCGUAAGACCUUGCACUAUUGGAGCGGCCGAUAUCGGAUUAGCUAGUUGGUGAGGUAACGGCUCACCAAGGCGACGAUCCGUAGCUGGUUUGAGAGGACGACCAGCCACACUGGGACUGAGACACGGCCCAGACUCCUACGGGAGGCAGCAGUGGGGAAUUUUGGACAAUGGGGGCAACCCUGAUCCAGCCAUCCCGCGUGUGCGAUGAAGGCCUUCGGGUUUUAAAGCACUUUUGGCAGGAAAGAAACGUCGCGGGCUAAUACCCCGUGGAACUGACGGUACCUGCAGAAUAAGCACCGGCUAACUACGUG